This 447-nucleotide ribosomal RNA is filed under the name uncultured bacterium. RNAcentral describes it as "bacterial SSU rRNA". It matches the Rfam family "Bacterial small subunit ribosomal RNA", at positions 355 to 825 of the family's 1533-position model. The record is from RNAcentral.
UCGGGAAUUUUGGGCAAUGGGGGAAACCCUGACCCAGCAACGCCGCGUGAAGGAUGAAGUAUUUCGGUAUGUAAACUUCGAAAGAAUAGGAAGAAUAAAUGACGGUACUAUUUAUAAGGUCCGGCUAACUACGUGCCAGCAGCCGCGGUAAUACGUAGGGACCAAGCGUUGUUCGGAUUUACUGGGCGUAAAGGGCGCGUAGGCGGCAUGACAAGUCACUUGUGAAAUCUCUGGGCUUAACCCAGAACGGCCAAGUGAUACUGUCGCGCUAGAGUGCAGAAGGGGCAAUCGGAAUUCUUGGUGUAGCGGUGAAAUGCGUAGAUAUCAAGAGGAACACCUGAGGUGAAGACGGGUUGCUGGGCUGACACUGACGCUGAGGUGCGAAAGCGUGGGGAGCAAACAGGAUUAGAUACCCUCGUAGUCCCUGAGCGGGCUGGCAAGGCGCAU